This 253-nucleotide ribosomal RNA is filed under the name uncultured bacterium. RNAcentral's name for it is "partial 16S ribosomal RNA". It matches the Rfam family "Bacterial small subunit ribosomal RNA", at positions 524 to 776 of the family's 1533-position model. The record is from RNAcentral.
UACGUAGGGGGCAAGCGUUGUCCGGAAUCAUUGGGCGUAAAGAGCGUGUAGGCGGCUCGGUAAGUCUGCUGUGAAAGUCCAGGGCUCAACCCUGGGAUGCCGGUGGAUACUGUCGAGCUCGAGUCCGGAAGAGGCGAGUGGAAUUCCUGGUGUAGCGGUGAAAUGCGCAGAUAUCAGGAGGAACACCAAUGGCGAAGGCAGCUCGCUGGGACGUGACUGACGCUGAGACGCGAAAGCGUGGGGAGCAAACAGG